UUGGGCGUAAAGCGCGCGCAGGCGGUUUCUUAAGUCUGAUGUGAAAGCCCACGGCUCAACCGUGGAGGGUCAUUGGAAACUGGGGAACUUGAGUGCAGAAGAGAAAAGCGGAAUUCCACGUGUAGCGGUGAAAUGCGUAGAUAUAUGGAGGAACACCAGUGGCGAAGGCGACUUUCUGGUCUGUAACUGACGCUGAGGCUCGAAAGCAUGGGGAGCAAACAGGAUUAGAUACCCUGGUAGUCCAUGCCGUAAACGAUGAGUGCUAAGUGUUGGAGGGUUUCCGACCUUCAGUGCUGCAGCUAACGCAUUAAGCACUCCGCCUGGGGAGUACGACCGCAAGGUUGAAACUCAAAGGAAUUGACGGGGGCCCGCACAAGCGGUGGAGCAUGUGGUUUAAUUCGAAGCAACGCGAAGAACCUUACCAGGUCUUGACAUCCUUUGACCACUCUAGAGAUAGAGCUUUCCCUUCGGGGACAAAGUGACAGGUGGUGCAUGGUUGUCGUCAGCUCGUGUCGUGAGAUGUUGGGUUAAGUCCCGCAACGAGCGCAACCCUUAUUAUUAGUUGCCAGCAUUCAGUUGGGCACUCUAGUGAGACUGCCGGUGAUAAACCGGAGGAAGGUGGGGAUGACGUCAAAUCAUCAUGCCCCUUAUGACCUGGGCUACACACGUGCUACAAUGGAUGGUACAACGAGUCGCAAAACCGCGAGGUUAAGCUAAUCUCUUAAAGCCAUCCUCAGUUCGGAUUGUAGGCUGCAAUUCGCCUACAUGAAGCCGGAAUCGC
RNAcentral lists this ribosomal RNA (781 nucleotides) under uncultured bacterium. Its description in RNAcentral is "bacterial SSU rRNA". It matches the Rfam family "Bacterial small subunit ribosomal RNA", at positions 554 to 1335 of the family's 1533-position model. The record is from RNAcentral.